CCUACGGGAGGCUGCAGUGAGGAAUAUUGGUCAAUGGCCGAGAGGCUGAACCAGCCAAGUCGCGUGAGGGAUGACGGCCCUACGGGUUGUAAACCUCUUUUGUCGGGGAGCAAAGCGAGUCACGUGUGACGCUUUGAGAGUACCCGAAGAAAAAGCAUCGGCUAACUCCGUGCCAGCAGCCGCGGUAAUACGGAGGAUUCAAGCGUUAUCCGGAUUUAUUGGGUUUAAAGGGUGCGUAGGCGGUAGGUUAAGGUAGAGGUGAAAUUCCGGGGCUCAACCUCGGAAUUGCCGCUGAUACUGUUCGUCUUGAGAGUAGGUGCGGUAGGCGGAAUGUAUGGUGUAGCGGUGAAAUGCUUAGAGAUCAUACAGAACACCGAUUGCGAAGGCAGCUUACCAAGGUACUUCUGACGUUGAGGCACGAAAGCGUGGGGAGCGAACAGGAUUAGAUACCCUUGUAGUC
This 460-nucleotide ribosomal RNA is filed under the name uncultured bacterium. RNAcentral's name for it is "partial 16S ribosomal RNA". It matches the Rfam family "Bacterial small subunit ribosomal RNA", at positions 338 to 795 of the family's 1533-position model. The record is from RNAcentral.